GUUGGAUGUGGGGGUUUUGUUGGCUUCUAUGAAGUCAGCUCCCCUCAAAUGUAUUAGCGGAAUGAUUUCCUGUUCAUUGGUGUGAUAAUUAUCUACGCUAUUGACAGGGGAUAACAGUUCAGCUUCUAAUAGUCCAUUGACUUGGACAAAAUUUUCAUUAAUGUGACCUCAAAUCAGGUAGGACUACCCGCUGAACUUAA
This 200-nucleotide unclassified non-coding RNA is filed under the name soil metagenome. RNAcentral's name for it is "partial contains internal transcribed spacer 2 and large subunit ribosomal RNA". The record is from RNAcentral.